RNAcentral lists this ribosomal RNA (446 nucleotides) under uncultured bacterium. Its description in RNAcentral is "partial 16S ribosomal RNA". It matches the Rfam family "Bacterial small subunit ribosomal RNA", at positions 338 to 795 of the family's 1533-position model. The record is from RNAcentral.
CCUACGGGUGGCAGCAGUCGAGAAUCAUUCACAAUGGGGGAAACCCUGAUGGUGCGACGCCGCGUGGGGGAAUGAAGGUCUUCGGAUUGUAAACCCCUGUCAUGUGGGAGCAAAUUAAAAAGAUAGUACCACAAGAGGAAGAGACGGCUAACUCUGUGCCAGCAGCCGCGGUAAUACAGAGGUCUCAAGCGUUGUUCGGAAUCACUGGGCGGAAAGCGUGCGGAGGCUGUGUCGUAAGGCCUGUGGGAAAGGCGCGGGGUCAACCCGCGGAGGGCAGAUGCUACUGGGAGACUAGAGUAAUGGAGGGGGAAGCAGAAUUCUCGGUGUAGCAGUGAAAUGCGUAGAUAUCGAGAGGAACCCUCGUGGCGAAGGCGGGUUCCUGGACAGUAACUGACGCUGAGGCACGAAGGCCAGGGGAGCGAAAGGGAUUAGAUACCCUAGUAGUC